CCUGUCCCUGCUCGCCUGUUCCCUUUCCCAUACACACACACCCGGGAGUGUGAAGGAGCAAGUGCCGACAGCUACAACCGCGAUUCAGAGGUUCUUGAAAGGGUUGCUGUUGUUUCUGGACAGUCAUCCUGGGCGGCUGUCCCCAGGCCAGCGAGGCCGACUGCUUAGCCUGCAGCCUGGGCCGCACUCCUGAGACACUCUGCCCCCAUCUGACUGGCCACGUGCCCUCUCGCUCCUCAGUGGCAAAGGAGGAAGAGGCAGUGAGAUGGCAAAUAGGCAAGGCCACCAUCAGUCAUUGUCGUCACUGUCACCAUCGUCUUGCAGAUCAGCCACAAUCCUGCCUGCACAGAACAGGUGAUCUUCCUCCUGCUCCCUCUUCCAUUUGGAAUACUGCCGUCACCACCUGUGCAGUCUCUCCGACCAGAAACCUCAGUGUCAUCCUGAUUCA
Molecule: long non-coding RNA, 448 nt
Filed under: Homo sapiens (human)
Lineage: Eukaryota; Metazoa; Chordata; Mammalia; Primates; Hominidae
Description: HSALNT0332430
Source: RNAcentral